Molecule: ribosomal RNA, 775 nt
Filed under: uncultured archaeon
Lineage: Archaea
Description: bacterial SSU rRNA
Rfam family: Archaeal small subunit ribosomal RNA
Source: RNAcentral
UUGCUGUCUAGCAUGCGAGUCAUUGUAGCAUACAAGGCAUACGGCUCAGUAACGCGUAGUCAACCUAACCUAUGGACGGGAAUAACCUCGGGAAACUGAGAAUAAUGCCCGAUAGAACACUAUACCUGGAAUGGUUUGUGUUCCAAAUGAUUUAUCGCCAUAGGAUGGGACUGCGGCCUAUCAGUUUGUUGGUGAGGUAAUGGCCCACCAAGACUAUUACAGGUACGGGCUCUGAGAGGAGUAGCCCGGAGAUGGGUACUGAGACACGGACCCAGGCCCUAUGGGGCGCAGCAGGCGAGAAAACUUUGCAAUGUGCGAAAGCACGACAAGGUUAAUCCGAGUGAUUUGUGCUAAACGAAUCUUUUGUUAGUCCUAGAAACACUAACGAAUAAGGGGUGGGCAAGUUCUGGUGUCAGCCGCCGCGGUAAAACCAGCACCUCAAGUGGUCAGGAUGAUUAUUGGGCCUAAAGCAUCCGUAGCCGGCUCUGUAAGUUUUCGGUUAAAUCUGUACGCUUAACGUACAGGCUGCCGGGAAUACUGCAGAGCUAGGGAGUGGGAGAGGUAGACGGUACUCGGUAGGAAGUGGUAAAAUGCUUUGAUCUAUCGAUGACCACCUGUGGCGAAAGCGGUCUACCAGAACACGUCCGACGGUGAGGGAUGAAAGCUGGGGGAGCAAACCGGGAUUAGAUACCCGGGUAGUCCCAGCUGUAAAACUUAUGCAACUCAGUUGAAUGCCAAUUGCCUUGUGACCAAAUGCAGCUGCCUUGCCCAUUGA